This 227-nucleotide long non-coding RNA is filed under the name Elaeis guineensis (African oil palm). RNAcentral describes it as "long non-coding RNA (EGUI_LNC017328)". Lineage: Eukaryota; Viridiplantae; Streptophyta; Magnoliopsida; Arecales; Arecaceae. The record is from RNAcentral.
CAUAGAGCAAAAAAGUGAGAUUAACUCCUUCAUAUGGAUAAAAAUAAAAUCUUAUAAAUUUUUUUCGAGAAUAAUCAACAACCUAAAAAGUCAAAGAAAAAUACUUUAGAAUCACAUCCCAUUCUAUUAAGUAGAAUUUAUUUCCUAUGAUUCCAAUCCAUAUCUCUUUAAUUGGUAACAUUUACUUCCCAUGAAUACCAUCCAUAUCUAUCCAAUAAUAUUUACUU